Molecule: ribosomal RNA, 158 nt
Filed under: Beauveria bassiana
Lineage: Eukaryota; Fungi; Ascomycota; Sordariomycetes; Hypocreales; Cordycipitaceae
Description: 5.8S ribosomal RNA
Rfam family: 5.8S ribosomal RNA
About the family: 5.8S ribosomal RNA (5.8S rRNA) is a component of the large subunit of the eukaryotic ribosome.
Source: RNAcentral
AAACUUUCAACAACGGAUCUCUUGGCUCUGGCAUCGAUGAAGAACGCAGCGAAAUGCGAUAAGUAAUGUGAAUUGCAGAAUCCAGUGAAUCAUCGAAACUUUGAACGCACAUUGCGCCCGCCAGCAUUCUGGCGGGCAUGCCUGUUCGAGCGUCAUUU